GCAGACGAGGAUUCCAACUUUCCCUAGCCGAAAUGGGAUUGGAGAAUUUUGCCCUUUAUCAACCCUCAGUCAUAUAAAUACAUCCUAAAACACCACUUUGAGGAAGGAGAUACUACUUUAGGUUUAGACAACACUCUUGGAGACAAGAACACUGAUAGUAGGCUAUGUAGUUGAUAUUUACACCUUAAUAUGACCAUGCUUUAUUGUUGUUUUAUAGGCAAAUUACCAACAAAAUGCUCUAAAAAUUAUUUUUUUAUUUCGCAGGGAAUAUUAUAUGGGACGAAGCAGCAUGGAGAAUUUUGGAGGCGAUAAUGUGAAGAAAAUGCCUACUCGAGAAGUACCCGAGCACAAAGAAGCAGAAAAUGGCCUGGGCAAGGAGUCCACCGCGACCUUGUGGAACCGCGGUGAACCGCGGCAGAUUAAAAAUGUGAGGCAGAAAGGUUAUCUCUCACGCGGUCUGCUGCGAUCACAGUGCACUGUUCACGCUGCUGAAAGUUUGGGGACCAAAAUGUAAUUUUAGAGAAGUUGUUGUAAAACCUUUAUAAGCUUUAGAUACUCGCCCAAGAUUGUUUUAAGCUUGUUUUAGACUACUUUUGGAGAAGAACAAGUGUGAGGCGACGAUCCAAAUAUUAGAGUUUUUUUCUAUCUUCUUUUAAUUCUUGCAAUUUUACAUUAUGAACG
RNAcentral lists this long non-coding RNA (681 nucleotides) under Nicotiana benthamiana. Its description in RNAcentral is "long non-coding RNA (NBEN_LNC042607)". The record is from RNAcentral. Lineage: Eukaryota; Viridiplantae; Streptophyta; Magnoliopsida; Solanales; Solanaceae.